AUUGAACGCUUGCGGCAUGCUUAACACAUGCAAGUCGAACGGUAACAGGCCUAGCUUGCUAGGUGCUGACGAGUGGCGGACGGGUGAGUAACGCGUAGGAAUCUACCUUAUAGUGGGGGAUAACCUGGGGAAACCCAGGCUAAUACCGCAAGUUUCUCAAGAGAUAAAGCAGGGGACCUUCGGGCCUUGUGCUAUAAGAUUAGCCUGCGUCGGAUUAGCUAGUUGGUGGGGUAAAGGCCUACCAAGGCGACGAUCCGUAGCUGGUCUGAGAGGACGACCAGCCACACUGGGACUGAGACACGGCCCAGACUCCUACGGGAGGCAGCAGUGGGGAAUAUUGGACAAUGGGCGCAAGCCUGAUCCAGCAAUGCCGCGUGUGUGAAGAAGGCCUUCGGGUUGUAAAGCACUUUCAGUGGGGAGGAGGGACUUAAUCCUAAUAUGAUUAAGUAUUGACGUUACCUACAGAAGAAGCACCGGCUAACUCUGUGCCAGCCGCCGCGGUAA
This 504-nucleotide ribosomal RNA is filed under the name uncultured bacterium. RNAcentral's name for it is "partial 16S ribosomal RNA". It matches the Rfam family "Bacterial small subunit ribosomal RNA", at positions 30 to 523 of the family's 1533-position model. The record is from RNAcentral.